This is a non-coding RNA of Paramuricea clavata, 421 nucleotides long. The record is from the annotation of a GenBank genome assembly. NCBI's taxonomy places the organism in Eukaryota, Metazoa, Cnidaria, Anthozoa, Malacalcyonacea, Plexauridae.
GUGUGUUUGUGCCGUCUGACCAUAGCAAGAGGGACUUAUAGGCAAGUUUACCCAGACCGCCCUUAUUAAUGUAAUGUGCCCUCUCUAAUGUAAAUGUUGUAUUAAUACGAAAGUUUAUAUUAUAGUAUACAACAGUUGGUGGUUUACCAAGUCGUAAAUUAAGUCCUGAUGUUUGUGCUGUAUGUGGUCAAGGAACAAAUCUUGCAGUUGCAUCUGACGAAGAUGCCCCGGAGAAAACUUGUCGACUUUCUUGUGAUCAUGUGUAUCCUUCAAGCUAUCCCAAACACAAUGCCGAGAGGAAUUCGGGUGAUUGGAAAUUAAAAUUAAUAAUAUAGAAAGAUCAGUCCGUAAAGACAGCAUACGCUGUUCUUGCGGGACGCCGCUACUUUUGUUAAUUGGACGUUACUUAAUUCGGAAAUCG